UCCACUGGGGAAGAAAGAAACAGUGAUUGACUUCUGAGAGAUUUACCAAAAGCUUUUCAAAGCUUGUUAUUUAAAGCCAGUCCUGAAUGUCUCAGGGCUAAGGCUGCCACAGAAGGCUGUGCCUGCCAACUGGUGUGAGAGGAGACGGAGAAGGGUAACACAUGCAGGCCACACACACACUCGGAUGUACUUCUGGAGCGGUGGCAGGAGGGCGGGGAAGUUCUACAAGGGAAACAUUUUGCUGAUGUGGAAGAGGUAGAACAGAAAACAGCAGGAGCACUAAGGGGCAUCAAAACCGACAAGUUCAAAAACUGUUUUUGAACAGUGGAAAAAAUCUCAAUAGGUGUAUUUCAUCAAAUGAGGCCACUGAUGUUGAUGAAGAUGGUUUUUUUAGUGGCUUUUUGCCUGGACAAAGUUUGUUCAGCAUCUUGAAGUUUUAGCACCUGAUAUGCACAGGCCUAAGAAAUUAUACCCAAGCCACCCCCCACCCCCCAAAACACCCCAAACGAGCCAGCCGCCCCCCCACGAUACAUACAGAAUCAUGGAAAGGGUUCUCUUAGCUAAUGACCUGUGAGCCAACCUAGCUGCCGGCCCAGCAACCAUCUCAAAGCUGCUUUGAAUUCUGAACACAGCAUUAUUCCAUGAAGGACAACACGGCGUGCAGCGGCAUUCUGGGAUAUGGUAAACUAUAAAAUGUAAAGAGCCACUCAAUGCUAUACAAAACAAAACAAA
Molecule: long non-coding RNA, 732 nt
Organism: Artibeus jamaicensis (Jamaican fruit-eating bat)
Lineage: Eukaryota; Metazoa; Chordata; Mammalia; Chiroptera; Phyllostomidae
Exons: 5
Source: RefSeq, a predicted model, not a curated record